GCCGGGAUAGCAUAACGGUAAAUGCAAAAUACGAAGCGGGUUCGACUCCCGCUCCCGGCUCCA
Molecule: transfer RNA, 63 nt
Filed under: Candidatus Ornithomonoglobus merdipullorum
Lineage: Bacteria; Bacillati; Bacillota; Clostridia
Description: tRNA-OTHER
Rfam family: tRNA
About the family: Transfer RNA (tRNA) molecules are approximately 80 nucleotides in length. Their secondary structure includes four short double-helical elements and three loops (D, anti-codon, and T loops). Further hydrogen bonds mediate the characteristic L-shaped molecular structure. tRNAs have two regions of fundamental functional importance: the anti-codon, which is responsible for specific mRNA codon recognition, and the 3' end, to which the tRNAs corresponding amino acid is attached (by aminoacyl-tRNA synthetases). tRNAs cope with the degeneracy of the genetic code in two manners: having more than one tRNA (with a specific anti-codon) for a particular amino acid; and 'wobble' base-pairing, i.e. permitting non-standard base-pairing at the 3rd anti-codon position.
Source: RNAcentral